Molecule: long non-coding RNA, 724 nt
Organism: Nematostella vectensis (starlet sea anemone)
Lineage: Eukaryota; Metazoa; Cnidaria; Anthozoa; Actiniaria; Edwardsiidae
Exons: 5
Source: RefSeq, a predicted model, not a curated record
UUGAAAUCUGUAGGUGACAAACAAAGACCUCCACCAGAAGUAGGUGACGUUGGAAUCGUUGAAAUCCCAAUUAAUGAUCGUACGUCUGCGAGAACUGGAGCCGACCACUACAACCCGGGAGUUCGGGGCGCCCCUGAACACGUUGAUGCCGUCCGCUCGUCUGGCAUAACAGAUUGGAAGCAGACGCAUUCCAAAGGACGCCUUCUUGCGGCAGAUUUGUCGGCACGCUUUGUAGAAGACUUUAAUUUAUUGUUUUAUUUGAGUGUACCUGAUGCCAGCGUAGGCAAGAACGCUGUAAUAAACAACGGUUGUCCCUACGCCCCGGAAAAAGCAUGCGAAGACAUAUAAGAAUGGGCGAGGGAUGCAGUUCGUCAAUGCCGAACACUCCACUCAGAGGAGAAGCAGAAAGAACGCCUUCUCGCGACAAUAUUUGCCGUAUCUAAAGCAGCAAGCAGAAACACACGAGAUCUAUGUUUUGAAGGAAUGAAAGAUCUUUCAAGAAGUGCUGAGGACGCGCUGAAGGCUAUUCCAAAUCAGACACCUCGACUGGUUCGCAUGGACGACAUCAAAACCAACAGCACUCUACCUGCUAGAGUUGCUAUUGCUUUGUUGAUGAAAGAACGACCAGAUAGCAGGCUAGAUCUACUAUCCAAAUACUGUAGAAUUAGCGAUGACCAUCCUAAGUGUAGUCUCUGUAGGCGUGGGGUCAUGAUGUGGCAGCAUU